AAAAAGAGGAAACCCUGCGUUUCUGUGUCCAACUUUGACUGUCCGUCUUAUAUGAAAAUGGUUUAUAAUUCGUAUUUUCAUUGUUGUUAGAUGAUAAAACAUGAUUAAUAUUUUAUACGUGACUUGUCUUUUUAAUUUUUUUCAUAAUUUUUUUAAAUAAGACGGACGGUCAAACGUUGAGCAUGGAAACCAGGGUUUGUCUUUUC
Molecule: microRNA precursor, 206 nt
Organism: Oryza sativa Indica Group (long-grained rice)
Lineage: Eukaryota; Viridiplantae; Streptophyta; Magnoliopsida; Poales; Poaceae
Rfam family: MIR812 microRNA precursor family
Source: Rfam